RNAcentral lists this ribosomal RNA (253 nucleotides) under uncultured bacterium. RNAcentral's name for it is "partial 16S ribosomal RNA". It matches the Rfam family "Bacterial small subunit ribosomal RNA", at positions 524 to 776 of the family's 1533-position model. The record is from RNAcentral.
UACGUAGGGGGCGAGCGUUGUCCGGAAUCAUUGGGCGUAAAGCGCGUGUAGGCGGCUCGGUCAGUCUGGUGUGAAAUCUUGGGGCUCAACCCCAAGCCUGCACUGGAUACUGCCGAGCUUGAGUCCGGGAGGGGAGAGCGGAAUUCCUAGUGUAGCGGUGAAAUGCGCAGAUAUUAGGAAGAACACCGGUGGCGAAGGCGGCUCUCUGGAACGGUACUGACGCUGAGACGCGAAAGCGUGGGGAGCGAACAGG